UACGUAGGGUGCGAGCGUUAAUCGGAAUUACUGGGCGUAAAGCGUGCGCAGGCGGUUCUAUAAGACAGAUGGGAAAUCCCCGGGCUCAACCUGGGAACUGCAUUUGUGACUGUAGAGCUGGAGUGCGGCAGAGGGGGAUGGAAUUCCGCGUGUAGCAGUGAAAUGCGUAGAUAUGCGGAGGAACACCGAUGGCGAAGGCAAUCCCCUGGGCCUGCACUGACGCUCAUGCACGAAAGCGUGGGGAGCAAACAGG
This 253-nucleotide ribosomal RNA is filed under the name uncultured bacterium. RNAcentral's name for it is "partial 16S ribosomal RNA". It matches the Rfam family "Bacterial small subunit ribosomal RNA", at positions 524 to 776 of the family's 1533-position model. The record is from RNAcentral.